RNAcentral lists this ribosomal RNA (318 nucleotides) under [Candida] sp. GJ10M02. RNAcentral's name for it is "eukaryotic LSU rRNA". It matches the Rfam family "Eukaryotic large subunit ribosomal RNA", at positions 89 to 650 of the family's 3401-position model. Lineage: Eukaryota; Fungi; Ascomycota; Saccharomycetes; Saccharomycetales. The record is from RNAcentral.
GCGAGUGAAGCGGCAAAAGCUCAAGUUUGAAACCUUCGGGGUUGUAUCAGGAGGCUUGUUGACUGGUAAAGUUCCUUGGAAUAGGACGCCACAGAGGGUGAUAGCCCCGUACCUCCAACGUAUAAGCCCCCGGCGAGUCGAGUUGUUUGGGAAUGCAGCUCCAACGGUGGUAAAAUCCAUCCAAAGCUAAAUAUUGGCGAGAGACCGAUAGCGAACAAGUACAGUGAUGGAAAGAUGAAAAGCACUUUGAAAAGAGAGUGAAAAAGUAUGUGAAAUUGUUGAGAGGGAAGGGAAUCCUUCUUAGGAAGGCUUCCACCC